UGUCACUAACUGAGUACCUUGGUUUGGGAGUAUCUGCUUUGGGACCCCUGCAAUCUGAUUUCCUGAGAUGCCAUGAGCCCAUUGCUGCUUCCAGUGGGAGCUGAGGUUUCCCAGCCCUGCUGAAAAUCAGGUCCUAGGCUCCUUCAGGCCAGCACCAAGGAGUCUCAGGUUUUCAAAGUUAACAGUUGCCUCUAAAUAUAAAACAACAGCAAAGCUAUAAUGGAAGUGGGAAAAAAAUCCAUACCUUUUGCCUUCCUAAUAUGUUAUACCUGAUGCUCACUGCAGAAGGGUUAGAGAUCUGACCCUUUGGACAUGGUUAGUAAGGGAGAGGUCCACUGGUCCCAGUGAUUUCUGGUUAUUUAGGAAAAAGGGAAAUUAAUGUGAGUUUUCCUUCAGCCUAUUAAUUCUGCACCCCCAUCACAGACAUUAAUUCAAACAUAAAACCUGAGCCUGGGUUUGAGCCUCCCCUGUGCUCAAAGCAGUCCAUGCCCAGGGUUCUUGUUCAGGCCCAUUUGUUACCUGCGUGACAUUCACCCAUCAUCCUGAUUGUAAUGGUGAGAGGGGGAAAACGUUCUCCUGGCUACUGAGAAGAAAAAUGACCUUACAUAGAAUUUAUAAUCUCCCUCAUCUGAGCUAAUUAUUCAGGAAAGGGUAUUUUUCACUGCAAGAAGCCCAGGCAAGCAGAUUCCAUUCAUAACUCAAAUACCAAACAGCUUGAACACCUUUGGGUUUAGUGGCUGAUUUUAUAAAUAUUAAGGGGGGGGGGGGGUAGGUUUGUUAUUUUAUGGUGUUUUGUCAGUGCUCUUUCCCUUCGGGCAGAAAGCUGCUCCCUCUUCGUCACAGCCUCGAUAAUGAAUUGCAGUGUACAAAGCCGGUCAUACAAUACGCAGCGGCGGCAGCGCGGAGCGAGAAUCUUUGGGAAGAGUUUCCAUAGAAACAUUGACGUCCUCCUGGCGAACAGGACACCGAGUUCCUUCAAUGGGAGAUGAAGACACUGGCCUCAAGGAUUGUCCACCCUUCCUUGGGCUGUGGUUCCUCCAUGCUGCAUUGGUCUAUGGCCCCAUGUUCUCACUAAGCUCAGCAGCAAGACUCUUCUCACUCUGCAGAAAGGCUGCUCGUACUCACGAUCCAGAGCACGUGGCUAUGCAACCACCAAAACCCCAGGGAAAACCGUUUCUAGGAGGGCCUGAGCUAAAUACAGCCUCUCUUAGACUGCAGACUCACUGGUGGCCGGCAGAGUCCCCCAGAGGAGACAACAGAGCUGGUUUGAGCCUUGGCACCUGUGAAGCUGGCUGGCUUGGGGCAUGAGUGGAGGAACACAGAGGAACUCGUUGCUUCUACAGCACUCCUGUGCAACUCAGCAGCACAAAUUAGGUUUGUGAAGCUCCUCACGAAAUCUCACCUGGAAACAUUCAUCUACGGUGUUAUGCAGCUUUCCCCACUUCAAAGGGAAACGUGGUGCUGCUGCUACCCCAGUUAGAGCAGCACCGAGCACUGGGACAUGUUGAACUGUGUUCACUGACACAGCCAAUGUUAUCUGUCAGCCUGCUCAGUGUUCCUUGUACCAGGGAGAUUUCUAAGUUCUAAUUUAAAUAAACA
This is a long non-coding RNA of Pezoporus occidentalis (night parrot), 1599 nucleotides long. RefSeq lists it as uncharacterized. NCBI's taxonomy places the organism in Eukaryota, Metazoa, Chordata, Aves, Psittaciformes, Psittacidae. The transcript is spliced from 4 exons. The record is from RefSeq and is a predicted model, not a curated record.